Molecule: long non-coding RNA, 570 nt
Organism: Piliocolobus tephrosceles (Ugandan red Colobus)
Lineage: Eukaryota; Metazoa; Chordata; Mammalia; Primates; Cercopithecidae
Exons: 4
Source: RefSeq, a predicted model, not a curated record
UGUCUCUCCUGCCAUCGUGUGAAGAAGGUGGCUGUUUCUCCUUCCACCAUGAUUGUAAAUUUCCCGAGGCUUCCCUAGCCAUGCGGAAUUGAUAUGGCUCACAUAGGCACCCCAGAAAUGCCUGCUGAGUGAAAUGAUGAUGUGUCUCUAUAGAAAUGAUAUUUUUCUCUGCAAAUGCACAUGCCUCAGGAAUUGCAAAUCUAUGAUCUUCCCCAAAGAAUAACCUCUGGUUCAUUUUGGAUUGAGUCAAAAGUUUCUACUACAGUGUUGUUCUGUGAAGAGGAACGGGUGCUGGAGAGCUAAGCUGGGCAGGAGGCAGGAGGCAGGAGGGACUCUCUGCAGCAAUCAGCAGGUGUGCACUGAUGGCUGGGCUCCUACUGAGGGCAGUGGAAGAGGUGGUUGCUUUUGGUAGGGCCCAUUCCGAUUGCUCAUUGCCUGGAAAUUUUCAACUCACACAAAGAAAAGGCCAUGUGAAGACACAGAGAGAAGGCAGCUGUUUGGAAGCCAGCAAGAGAGGCCUCACCAGAAACCAAACCUGAUGGAACCUUGAUCUUGAAUUUUCAACCUGGC